GGCAUACGGCCGGAAUACAAUCAAAUCGUAUCUGCACCAUGCCUAUGACCUACCCCGCUCACACGUUCCCUCAACAACCAGCCAAACUCCUCCUCUCUCUCCGUCAUCUCAGAUCCAGCCGCCCCCUCCAUCUCCUCUUCCACAACCAGCCACCGUCCCGAUCUGAAGGUCUCCGACCAGAUCAGCCUCCUCCCCACCACGGCGUGCGGCGAGGAGUCCCCGGAUCGCUCGCCGUCACCCAGUGCGGUGCAUAUCUGGUAGUCCGCCCUCACCAAGCAUUCGAUGCGUUGACGGCUCCUAGCACCAGAUACCGCGACGAACGAGCUGUGUUCUGCCUCCUCCGGCUGCCGAGGACCACGGACGCCACUUCGUCUCACCGGCUGGCUCAGCAUCAGCACCGACCACUACUCACAGUUAAUCCCCCAUUCCCCGCUUGCCAAAUCUAGGAGUUGUAUUACUAGGUGUGCAAAAUUGUUGCUACGUCAUGGAUCUAGUAGCACAUGGAUCUAUCACUUUUGCUCUUGGUCUUGUGUUCUCCAGUGCGUGAUGAAUUUGAUGAUGAUGAAAUGGAGGCUGGACGACGUCUGCCACACGAGUUAACAUGCCAGGCUCCUGACUUACUUUAGUUCAUGUCUUCAUGACCAGCAAGUUGUCCUGGUUCCUGCAUAGAUUGUAAUUUUGUAGGCAGAAUUGUACAAGAACUUUUCGGAUGUCCCACUCGUACUUUGCAGAAUUUUGACGAAGGACUUGUAUGUUUUAACAGAACUCUGUUUUACAGAGUAGACACUCUGAAUAAAUUGCUGACGAACUUUAUUUUUGUA
Molecule: RNA transcript, 821 nt
Organism: Triticum dicoccoides
Lineage: Eukaryota; Viridiplantae; Streptophyta; Magnoliopsida; Poales; Poaceae
Exons: 3
Source: RefSeq, a predicted model, not a curated record